RNAcentral lists this long non-coding RNA (357 nucleotides) under Lathyrus oleraceus (garden pea). RNAcentral describes it as "Pisum sativum (pea) long non-coding RNA (PSAT_LNC000246)". The record is from RNAcentral. Lineage: Eukaryota; Viridiplantae; Streptophyta; Magnoliopsida; Fabales; Fabaceae.
AAAGAAGCUCCUGCAGGUGAACCAGUUUGUGACUUUGAACCUUCAUCCUUUUUGAGCUUAUCAUUCUUGGACUUCCUUCUUUCAGCAUCCUUGACAGCCUUGCAUAUCUCUUUCAAAUUUUUGGAUGACUUAAUCAUAUUACCAGUUAUGAUAAGAGAUAGAUGGAAAUGAGUGUGACCUUGAUGGGAAUGGAAGUUAUGUUUUAUAGAUAGCCUGGGAUCAAACAGACCACUGUUGAUUAUUAUGCACCAAUGGACUUUGGAGAGAGGUAUAUUUUUGGUCUUCUGGAAAAUGCUUAGCUAUCAAAACCUGUUUUGACCAUCUUAAGAAUUGAAGAGUUGGUUCCCAACCAUUCUG